Hylaeus volcanicus is the source of this 7814-nucleotide long non-coding RNA. RefSeq lists it as uncharacterized. NCBI's taxonomy places the organism in Eukaryota, Metazoa, Arthropoda, Insecta, Hymenoptera, Colletidae. The record is from RefSeq and is a predicted model, not a curated record. The transcript is spliced from 2 exons.
GCUUGGUGCAAACCGAAUUUUAUUUUUCACGGUUUGCGUACUCGAUAAACGGUGCGUACUUAAAGCUAACCUUGAGGACACCCGAUAUCGAUGUAUCCUGGCCUGUCCGCUCCGCAUAUCCUACCGAUCUUUUACUAGAGUACUUUCUUUCCCCGACUAGUAUAUCGUCAUCCCUUUCGCGGCGUUACACGAACGAGAUGUUGAGGAUUUUUUUCUUUUUUUCACGGUAUGCUAAUAAUGGUAUUUUCGCUCGAACAGACUCGAGUUAAUCGUGUCCUCUUCGUCUUGGCGCGUUCUCGUCACCAAAAGAUUCGCCGAUGCAUACUGCGCGAGCCCAAGCAACGAAUAACAAAUAAACGGAAGGAUGCGGCAUACGAUUCGAUGAACAAAUGGCAACUUUCGAUCGUGUCGAUGGAUUUUUUUGAUUAUAUCUCUGGAAUGACCUUUGAUCGUGUAUAUCCUCUUCGCCAACAUUUAUCCCGUUUCCGUAACCUCUUGAAAUUCCUUUAAUAUAUCUUUGCAAAUGAUUAUGUAUUUUAAACGCGACACGCAAACGCAUACACAAAACGCUCAGCACCCCUCACACGUACACAAAUAUGUAGACACAGUACAUAUAUGCAAAGACACAUUGCGAAUGUCGAGAGUAAUUGUUAGCGUAGCUAGUAUAUUUUGAUGAGCGCUAACCACCCAUUAGUUGAGAAUGAUCAGUAGGUGAAGCAUGCUGGUUGAAAUAUCUUUUAGAGCCGGUUAUCCUCCAUUGUUUCGUCACACCGCAUUCGUCGUUUCUUCGUAUAACUUGAAAGCACACAGUGUCUCGCUGCUCUGUCUUCUUGCUAACUUUUAACGCGACGCGCCAAGGGUAUAUUCGAUUGAACAUUUUUCUUUUUUCCACAUCUUUUCCUUUUCUUUUAUUUUAAUUAGUUUUUCGUUCUUUCGUUCGUUUAUUUCCUCGAUUACAUUUUUUCUUUUUCAUGGUUCAAAGUGUUUGUAGCGUGCAGCACUCGUCCGUUUUUACAUUUCAUGAUUUACUUGUUCGGGAAAAAGACAACGGUUAAUUAUUUACGUCGACUGUCGACGAUUCUCCAAGCAAUACGCGUCGUGCCGUUUACGACAUCCCAGUCGAUCGUAACUUUGUGCCUUGUCUUACCGUUACUUAGUAUUAUUAUCAUUAUCAUUAUCAUUAUUAUUAUUAUUAUUAUUAUUAUUAUUAUUAUUAUUAUUAUUAUUAUUAGCGAUUAUCGUCGAUCGAUUUACUCGACUUUCUCGUCAACCCCGCGUAUACGUUUCGCAAUUACCGAAACAUCGUUGCUCUUCAUCUUUCUGGUCAGCGAUUAUAUGUAUACAAAUUAGGCUCAGCCUCGAGCGCAGCGAAGGUCGCAAUGGGUUUGCACAAAUUCGAAAUUCUCGUUGCAGAGUUUCGUUCCCUCUCCCUCUCCUUCUCUUAUCCCGUAUCAUAUAUACAUAUAUAUAUUUUUUUUUUAUUUUUUUUUAGCCUUAUAUUGUCUUCUGUCUAUUUUCCUAUCUGUCUGUAUGUACGUGAGAGUGUGUUUUCGUGUUGCCAUAAUCGGUGAGGGAUAUAGUCGUGCAACGAGCAUCGUCCAACGAUCGUGUCUCGAGAAAGUUUGCGCGAACCUGUUCGCUACCCGCUCGAGCGAGGCGGAUUCGUCAAUGCCCAAAGGGAAACGAAUCGGAUUCUGAGACCGCCGCGCGUCCGCGUCCGCGCCCACUCGCGUCCACUCUAUAUUUUAGUUGGCCAUGUAGAAGAAUAUUUUGCUCGACGAAACGUACUUAGAAAUCGCAAUCUAUUCAUCUCUGACCUUACGAUUGUUCGGAGAUUGUCUAUCGACGGAAGUUUUAUCCAUUGCCUCGUCUUUUUUCAUAAGAUUCUUCUGUCGAAGGAGUCUUCGAACAACCGAGAAUGCGGUGUUUUACGAUUAUUAAUAUAGACAAAGUAGCGAUUUCAACUUAACAUUAAUUUUUCGAGCAUUAUUUUCUUCCUUGAUGCACCACUCUUCGACGCGAAAAAUUUCUUGAAAAACGGACGCGUGCACGUACAUUUAUUUCCAUGAUCAUCGGCCGUAAACUAGAGAGCGAAUGAAAGAAACGGGGGAGAGAGAGAGAGAGAGAGAGAGAGAGAGAGAGAGAGAGAGAGAGAGAAAGAGCACAACUUAGCAGGAAUACGCGGGGCGGCGAACACGAAAAACGACAAGUAUGACAUAGUUUAGUUCGAUGCUUAGAUGAGUUGCCAAUAAAGUAGUUGGUUUCAAACUUGUAGCUAACCUGUAUAUUGUGUACCUAUUUUGUAUACUCUGACCAGCUCCCGUUCGUCCUACGCUGAUCCCCUCCUUUUUUUCGUAACAAACACUUUUCCUUCCGUAUACAUAUAUACAUAUCCUCGCUAACUGUAUUUCUUUCGUAUUUUGAUCUCUGGCAAAAGUAAUUUAUCUGUGUUUUUCAUUUUGGUGCUGUGUAAUACUACGCUAUUCUCUCGCUCAUUCAUAUACCCGUAUAUAUGCAUUGUUUAUGUCUCCUCGUAUACCCCACUCAACUUGGAUCUAAAGUGUCUAUAUUGUAUCUUUUGUACGAAUCGUGAUACACGCUAUUCUAGAGCGUAUAUCGAUUAUUUUUCCAUUUAUUUCUUCUUCUACUCUGUUUCAUUUUUUCUUUCUUUUCUUCCUCUCCUUUUUCAUGUUAUUUUAUGUGAAAAAAAUUUGUUUGCAAAUUUUUCAUUUGUCAGCGGUGUCGAAGGUUGGCGCAGCCGUUGGUGCCGGAGGCGCGCCACCGCGGGCGCAUCGCUAAUUGGCUGAUUAAUAUUAAGCUGUAAUUAGCCUCGUUAACCCCGGUGGGCACUCGUUUCGCGACGCUCUCUGAUUGGUCGGAACACGGCCCCUGCGUGCCCUUCGGCUCAAAGCCAGCGCGCGCCGCGCAUCGAGGACCUUUCUCGAGCGAUUCCAAUCGUAUCUCGCGUCGUUUACGAAUCGCCAAUAACAAAUAACGAGUUUCGUCUAAUCUCGGUAAAAGGUGAAAAGUCUGCUCGCAAACUAGAUACACGUAGUCUCGUCAAGUUUCGAACGCGCGACUAGGAUUUAAUCGCGAAACAAACAAGCUGAGAAAGGUGUGACACGAAUCGAAAUACGAAAAGGUCUUGGACACACCGAACAGAGAAGCGGACAACGGGUUGAAACAUUCCAUUAAAUCAUCGAGAAACAAACCUCUUUGUUUCGUGUUCUCAACUACGUACGAUACGAUACGAUACGAUACAUAGAAAGAAAGCGGUUUCCGAUCAACGCGUUAACGGGAAAAACGGCCAUUCCUAUCGAAAGGAAGGACGGUGUGCACUCCGCCGGCACUCAUAGGCAAAACUCUUUUCUAACAUUUCUUCCUCUUUCCUGUCGCCCCAUGUUGCUUCUUAAGCGGUCCAAGACAACCAGAGGAAUUGUUGUAGCGCAUGCAUUUUAGCUAGAGUACCCCAGGCGCGCUCUAACCAGCAAGUAAGAGUAAAUUUAAAAAUUAAAUUUCGAUAUGUACACAGUUUUUUCUCCGCCAAGACCCAACAGGCUCCUUCUUUCGCGGUCGCUCAAUCUUUUUGCUGCCAAAGCAAACGACGAUUCGCAAUUUUAACUUUGAUUUACCCUGGAAUAUAUAAUACGAUAAUAUAAUAUACCGACGUCUUGUCGAACUUUGGCAGUUGAAAGAUGAGAAUUUUGAGCAAUCGAUGGAAGAAUCGUUACUUGGUUUUCCCAUUCCUCCGAUAUCCCGAAGAGUACGAAGGCUCGGCUUACCACCUCUACGUCCUUUUAACCUUUUGCGAAUGGACCGGUAAUUUAUUAAUUUCGAUCGAACAACAAAAUUAACCACAUGGAACGAUGUUAUUAUCGAAUAUCGAAAAGUCGAUCGGUGGCGUACGAGGCAAACAAACCCGCUGACCUGCCGAACAACUAGAGUCCAAGCGCAAAGGAUUGACGAGACAAGUGUGUGCGUUUUGCCGCUUGCCGAUUUCAGAGCCGUUCAGUUGCCGAUAAAAAAAUAGCUGACCGCGACUAGCCUGAUCGGAUUGCGAUCGAAUCCAACAGAAUCUGAACAGACUUUACUCGAUCCAAAAACCCUUUUUGCACGUACGCUCGAUCAAAGGAACGAGCAAAGACACCUGGCAUCGCAGCACGGAGAAAGAUAUGUUCCGGUUUCCAGAAAUUCGCGGGAAUCGAUCGCGAGAGACCUCUCCGAUCUUUACGUAGAUCGAGAGAGAUUUAAAAAUUGUUCGCUAGAGACGCGAAAACCUUGCCUUCGAAACGAUUCGAGAUGAAUAGUUGACGAUCAUAGGGAUCGGUGUACAUAUCGUCGAAUUGUCAUAGUUUGGUACGAGUUGUACAAUAGGUUGUAGAUGGUUUUAUACGUAGGUUGCGCGCUGUGAUUCCUCUCGUGUUGUGUCGUUGUUCUCGCGAAAACGAGCAGCAAGAAAAACGUAAUACGAUAUAAUAAAUGUAAGAGACAUUUUUUCGCGUAGCUGGACCGAUUCGAUCAACGUUUAACUAGUCUCGCGUGAGCAAUCAGAAUUCUUUCAGCUGCAUCGAGCGAAGCGUAAGACAUAUCGAUAACCUCCGACAUAUCAUUUUACGAUUUAUCAAGAUUUCAGUCGACUCGAGUCGACUAUAAUAUUUCGCGAUUUCGUACCGACACGACGGAAAACGGAAAACGGAAAACGGAAAACGGAAAACGGAAAAGAUACGCGUUCGUUUCGUUCUGCUUUCUCCGUGCAGUUGGGGGCGCCACUCUUUCCUUAGUUUUACGAUGUUUGAUUCGACAGAACCCGAGUGCCUUAUUCGAUCUCCCUGUGCCCCCAUCGUGUAUUCCCAACCCCGAGACCAAACACCCUUCGAAAUUCGAACGAAAAUAACUCAACAACUAAAGAAACGAUACACAGAGAUACGGAGAGUGAAAAAUGUAAGAGAAAAAGAUAAGCAAGACAGCGAAAAGAAAAACAGCAACUAUUCCGAUGCAUAUUAAUUCCCAUUUAAUAGGUAGAGUAGAGUUGAGAAGGUUGAUCGCUAGAGAAGGCAAGAGAACCGCUACCACGAAUUCGGAUCCGAGACCUGCCGACCAUCGCGACUGAGAAACAGGGAUAACGAAUAGUACAAGUGAACACGUACGAUGACUUCUAAGAAAAGAGAGAAAAGAAGAGACACGGUAUCUCGGUUGUUUCGCAACGAAAGGAUUGAAAGCUGGAGGUGAGUGACAAUAAAGGGCUAUUAUUUUUCCACACUCGUUUAGUCCCAGUGAUUCUUAUUUCUCGGAGAUUUUCUGACGCACCGUUACUAGUCUAACGAGAACUGAGAACAUUGUAUUUGUUAAAAAGAGAAAAAGUACAUAUGUACACACGCAAACAAACAGACAGACAGACAGAACAGACGGACAUACGCACACAUAUACGCGAUCUAGUACAUCAAAUAAUCAAAGAUACAAAUUCUACUAUCUGUAGCGUAUAUUUCACCGAUUGUUGCGAGAUACACGACAACAGGGUUCUGCAUCGAAAAUUGUGUACUUGGAAUGUUAUUAGUUAAUAUGUGAUAGAGAUGAUGUAAGACAAAGCAUUCCAUCAACUUUAUCGUACUUUGUUUGUUUCGACGUGUUUCUUCGAUACAGAGUAGUUUGUUCAAGUAUGCGAAAAAUGUAGGUUUUACUUGAAUUCGACGACAAGCGAACCGUAUAAUCUUUAAGGUGUAUUGUUUGGUGGUUGGUGCAAGAGUAGUGAAACAUUUUAUUCUGAAAUAUGGAACGUUGAAUUUGAAGAAGUCGGUUUUUUAUUCGAUCGGCAAUCGAUUCUUCUUGGACGACCGCGAUCGUUCGAAUGUAUCAAAUGUAAACGAAACGAAACGAAACGAAACGAAACGAAACGAAACGAAUCGAAUCGAAUCGAAUCGAUGAAAUGUCCCAUCGUCGUAAAUUAAUAUAUCGUCAAUCGAAUAAGAAACCAUUUCGAUAGAUAUUUCAGACUGUUUAAUAGCGAUACGCGUGUGCGUGUGCAUGGAGCUUUCGUUGAAUUUCGGACAAGGAAUAAAAAUGUUCCUCCUUUCGCGAUCAUGUCUUUUCUUGAAUUUUCGUUUGCGAAGAAAAUAUUCGUGUAAUUGAUUAAUUUGAAAAAUCGCUCCAUGAAUACGCAACGCCCAUGUUAAGCCAAUUAAUUGACAUUUCCAUGACAAACCCGUGACCCUUGAAUGAUCGAUUCUUUCGCAGCAUCGUAGAAACGUAGUUUCCUUUCACUUUCGAAACAACUUACACUCUUUUAGACAUAGUGGCAGAGCUGACGUAACUGAUAACAAUUAGAGUCUGCGUAGAGAGAUAUACGUAUGAUACAUACGUAGAUUUUUGUCGAGAAUUUCGACGAUGGUAAACAUGUAGGAAGUAACAGAGGGGGAACGCCAGGCCGGUGUUUACCCGUUUUUGCAACGAAUUUCCAAGAACGAAUUUCCAAGAAGAGUGUAUGUAGAAUGCCGAGGAUAAAUUGGCACAUCUUUCGACAUCGAUCCUGUAUUGUCAAACAACAGAAGGAAAAGAAAGUUUGUACGUUCCGUCGAUCGUCACUGGUACAUGGUCGAGUAUUGGUUGAGACGUCUGUUUAUAAAUGUCUGUUGGUUGCUCCGACGAGCAAGAUCGAUCUAGAAGGGGCGGCCAACUUAUCCCAGCAGCCCGUCCCGUCGCCUCGAUCAACGACGAUGUGGCCUAAUCGAACGAGAACAAACAAUUACGUAACACGUACGAAAUUUUUGAUGAAAUGGUACUUGUUUCUCCGCGAAAACGAUCGAGAUAAAAGCCAGUUGAAGGAAUCCUAAACAGACGAUACGAAUCGUUUACGAAAUGCUUUCUUGCAACUCGGAAUUUUGCCUGCGACGAACAAAAACUCAACAUUUUCCAGGAAGCCACACCAAGGACCGAGGGUUAAAGAUUAAACAAUCUCUCGAUAAAAUGUUGCAACGAUCAUUUCUCGAUGAAUCGCGAUAAGACAAGUUUUGUUAGGGUAGCAAUCGGCAUCCAAGCUAUAGAACGAAAAGAUCGUUAUACAGGAAACGUCGAUAAGAGAGCUUUGUAAUCUAUGACGCAAGCUAUCGGACGAUUCCGAUCGCGAAUUUUACAGGUACGCCGAGCGCGAAAACGAUCGAUGAGUCGGUUUAUCGCCUCGACGUUGUUUAAUGUUCACUCGAACGAAGCUAGGGGCAUUAGAAAGUCUAGGGAUAAGUGCUUUUCUAUUUCUACGUUUAACCGAGUACAAAAACUGUAUAUACUGUGUAUUAUUAUAUGUAUAUGUACAAGUGUAAGCAUGUAAGAAACGUAAGAGACGUAAUCGACGAUUUCGUCCAUUUUCGAUCCCAGUUCUAGUCACGUUAAGCUUCUUUUCGACGCCGACGCGUACCUUGCGUACGACACGCGAACCAAAAUACAUACACUCGCGAACCACUGAAAACGGAUUACUUUUAAAAGGCGCAUCCCGCGUUACGAUAACGAGCUGCACACGCGGAAACCACCUGGCUUUAGGAAUCGAGAAUCUCGCGUUGUAUCACGGCCACGGCCACGGCAUACAUUUCAUCGGCAGCGAAUUCGAGCGAAACUCGUAGCAUUUCAGAGGACACCGGGGACCUUUUUUUAAAUAAAAAAAAUCGUUAGAAACCGAGGGAGAAGAAAAGGAAGGAUACGCGACAGGCUCUUUGGCACUCUGGGACGAGCGAAGAAACGAAAAACCAGCAGUCGAGUUAACCAGCAGGGUGAAAUAAAAGAGUACCGACUGUAUUUAUUUAUGAACUGUAACAAUUACUUGUAUCGUU